AGGCUGAUCUUGAACUCCUGACUUCAUGAUCUGCCCACCUCAGCCUCCCAAAGUGCUGGGAUUACAGGUGUGAGCCACCAUGCCCGGCAAUGAUUCAUUUCUAAACUCAGCUUGUUAAAAGGUGAGGACUCUUCUAUCUGGACUACACCAAUUGGAUAGAUGUUGAUGCUCGUAUCUGGGCUUGGAACCACAGGAAAGAUUCUGGAUCUUCCUCUUGGACAAAGGUCACAGAGGAUUACCACUCUUGCAUAUUGUAGAAAUCCAUCAAGUGAAACUGUAUCAUAAGAGAACAUAGCACGUGUGUGAGAUUUUGUAUUUUGAAUGCACACCCAGGCAACUGUAAAGAUUGUCAUUCUCCCAUAUAAACACAUCUCACUGUUGAGGUUCUGAAUGUCAGACACAGACUGUCAAAAGUUGAAUAAUUGACUCUCAUGUGGAUCUGGACUAGAGGUGGACUGGUAACUCUCAGAGCAAGAUUCAGCACACAUAUGAGUCUGUGACUCCACUGAAAGGACAAGCCUGCAGAAGAAAUUGUGGCUUUCCUGCCCACAUUCUGUCAACCAUUGAUAUUGUGACUCACAUACUUACACCCAACGUACAGAAAGUGUUGACUCAUACCUAGAAUCUGGACAUAUAUGGAAUUUCUACUCGAAUUCCUGGACUUUUCUGCAGGUGUGAUUGUAUGCAUCCGCUACCCACCUUAGUGAUUUGACUUUCCUGCCUUGGCCCAGCCCACAGAUGAGAUUGUGACAUAUCGCUUGACUCUGCACCUUGAUGGUGCAAUCUCCGCUCACUGCAACCUCUGCCUCCCAGGUUCAAGUGAUUCUUCUGCCUCAGCCUCCUGAGGAGCUGGGAUUAUAGGCACGCACCACCACACCCAACUAAUUUUUGUAUUUUUAGUAGAGACGGGGUUUCACCAUGUUGAUCAGGCUGGUCUCGAACUCCUGACCUUGUGAUCCGCCUGCCUCAGCCUCCCAAAGUCUUGGGAUUACAGGUAUGAGCCACCAUGCCUGGCCUCGCUGGGCCUUUCACCCAGGUGAUGUGAGUUAUUUUUCUUGCAUUGGUACUGCUCACAGGGUGCAUUGUGGCAUAUUUCUAAGCCCUUCACUCAGGUUAUGUGACUACUUUUUUGCUUGUGCCCUAACUAUUUUGCAUGUUAGGACAUAUUACGAGGCCCAACACCUAUAAAAUGAGAGGCUCCUCCCUGGGCCCUGUCUACAGAGGGCCUUGUGACAUAUCUCUGCAUCAAUCACCUAGGAAAUGUGACUCCGUUUUUGCCUGCUCUCUGUCCACAGGAAACAUUGUGACUUAUCACUAGGCCCAGGUACCAGUUGAUGUCUCUGGUAACUGGGCCUUGACCAUGGAGAGGAUUGUUACCUAUUGCUGGGCUCAGCCCCCAUGUGGUGUGAUUAUACUGUCUGUGUCCUGCUUUCAGGAGAAGGCUGUAACAUAUUCCUGGUUGAGUAUUCGGGUGAUGUGGCACUCCUGUGUGGUCCUUGCCUUCAGAAAAGAUUGUGAUGUAUUCCUGGCCAAAAACCCAGGUGAUGUGACUCAUUUCUCCCUAUUCACAGGUAAGAUCGUAAAAUGCCUUGGUCUAGCUCACAGGUGUGAUGAUGUCGAUCCUUUUUUUUUUUUUUUGAGACAGAGUCGCUCUGUCGCCCAGGCUGGAGUGCAGUGGUGUGAUCUCAGCUCACUGCAACCUCUGCCUCUUGGGUUCUAGGGAUUCUCCUGCCUCAGCCUCCUGAAUAGCUGGGAUUACAGGUGCACACCACCAAUCCCAGCUAAUUUUUUUACUUUCUGUAGAGGCAUGGUUUCACCAUGUUGGCCAGGCUGGUCUCGAGCUCUGUACUUCAAGUGAUCUGCCCACCUCAGCCUUGCAAAGUUCUGGGAUUACAGGCAUGAGCCACCGCGCCUGGCCACAAGUGUGAUGAUGACCCUUAUACCUCAACCAGCCAAUAGGAGAGACCCUGUUUCUUAUAGCUAGGCUUAAAAUCAUGAGUAUGUUCAUGGGUCUUGUACGAAGGUCCUAUAGAAAUAGCACUUUCUUUUAUACUAUAUAAAUCUCUUAUCAUACAGAGAUUGCCAUUCCGGGGUUCAGAACACAGGUGAGAUUGUGUUUCUCAUAUGCAUACCCCAGCAAACAUUAAAAUUGUCAUCUUCAUGCAUGGACAGGGCCCACUGGUAAGUCCCGAAUCUCACACAUGGAAAAAAUCCACAGUUGAAAUUGUGACUGUCAUAUAUGAACAUCCGGCCAGAGUUGAAAUGAUGAGUCAUUUCUAAAUCCAGUUUAUAGGCAAGUGAGAAUUUUUCUAUCUGAACCCGAGACAAUAAAAGAUGGUUUUGAAUUAGACAAAAUGGAGCUAAAAGUUCAAACAAGUGGUGAAAGGAUUGUAAAAAUCUUGCAAAGAACUCCAUGUGUGGAUAUACUGACUAAAUUCAAAAAGGUACUACAUGGUUUUUCUGUAAAUAAAAAAUUGAAAUAAAAGCACAACAAGGUACUAGUAAUGCACUAAUCUGCUUUUUAGCAAAAUUUGUUAAAGGUUAUAACAGAUUGUUGCUUCUUUAAAAUUUCAGAGUCAUUGUAACAAAAUAAAUAAUUUACGAUAAUCUGAAAUUCUAUUUUAUGACAUCAAGUGUUUCAAAUCUCUAACACUUAACAUGCUUCCCAAAAUCAAACUUUAGUUUCAAAACUGCCUUUCCUGAUUCCUGGCUUUUGGAUACUUCAGAGGGCCCCUGGAGUAUCCAAAAGAGAGGUAAACAGAAUUAUUUGACAUAUUUAGGUACAUGAGAUUGGCAAAAUGGUGUUUAUUCAAUCUUUAGGUUAUAUUUUGGUGAAUAAUACUAAUAUAUGUUCCAAAAUUGUUUGGGAUUUCUAAAAUUCUAAUAUAUGUUUUCAAUAGUAAUAAAGGUUGUUAUGUUAAGUUAUUG
This is a long non-coding RNA of Pongo abelii (Sumatran orangutan), 2928 nucleotides long. The record is from Ensembl. NCBI's taxonomy places the organism in Eukaryota, Metazoa, Chordata, Mammalia, Primates, Hominidae.